Non-coding RNA from Malus domestica (apple), 3970 nucleotides. NCBI's taxonomy places the organism in Eukaryota, Viridiplantae, Streptophyta, Magnoliopsida, Rosales, Rosaceae. The record is from RefSeq and is a predicted model, not a curated record.
GUGGGACUGGGGUUCCAACACAAAACUUGAAGCUUACAGCUCCACCGGCCUUCAUCCCCUCGUCGCCGCCUACCUUCAGCCGUUCACCCAACUCCAGAACCCCCCAAAACCAAAAAAUCAACCAAAUCCCAAGACCACCAAAGCCUCCUCCGCUCCCUCGCCAAGAAAUUCCUUCCCUUUCUCAACCGCGCGCUAUCCCUUCUCCCCAAAAGCCGCGCCGACGCCUCAAAGUUAGAUGACGAAUUUGCCCUCGAACUCUUCGAUAUUUACCGGCUUUGCCUCUACUGCCUGACCGCCGUGUCCCCUGUGUUGUCCGCUUCGCCGUGCUCGUUUCACUCGCAGAGGGUGAGGAUGGUGAGUUGCCUGGUGGCAUGUGGGCGGUACGAGGAAGCGGAGAGUGAGGGGUUUUAUAGAAAUCGGUGAAAUCAGACCGGAGAUUUGUGCCGGAUGUGGAGAAGGGGGAGGAGAUAAAGAGUUUGGGUCUUUGGUGGGAGAAAUUGUGGUGACGCUUGUGAAAUGUGCGGCCAUGAGUCAGAGUAAGGAUAGUGAGGUGUAUGGGCGGGUGCUUUGUUUGGUUGAGGAGGUUGUGCCGUGGUUCUGGUGUGGUAUUAGAUGCAAGCACAUAUGAGAAGUUGCACAGGAAUCUCGUUGUCUACCUGAGUAGGUGUACUCAAUUUUUAGUUGGGGAGCUAUCAUCGUUCAAUGGGGAUCUUGUGCAAAAGUUCUGCCUUGUAACCAUGGCUGAAUAUGUCAAGUCGUCAUUGAAAUAUACAAUGUUCAAGUUUGCCCGUACAAUAUGUUCAUCUUUGAUCUUGUCUCGAGAUGACAGAUUCACGCUCUCUCGCAUAUUAUUUUACUUGUUGGACUCUCUUGUCCACGAAUGUAAGGCUAAAGUGGAAAAUACAGGAAAAGAGUUUAUUGAAAUUAUUGCUUAUUGUGCCAAGAAAUGUCAAACUACAAACCCAAACUGUUGCGGUAUUGUUGGAUCCCGUUUAAAUAAAUUAGCAGGUUGGAACACCUUUUCAUUUGAUUCUGAGGGUUGUUGAGAGUUGUCCCACAUUGGUGAGGGACAAGGUUUGCUAUGUGCUUAUAUGGUCUUGGGCUACUCCCCAUAUUGCCAAUUGGUUUUAUGGUGGAACCUCAAUUUCAUCAUGGUAUCAGAGCAAGGUUGUCCAUGUGUGAAGCCCAACGGCCACACGCGCUCCACGUCACCCAGUUGUUGUUCACGUGUAAGCUUGAAAAUCCGCCACACGUGCGGGGGCGUGUUGAGAGUUGUCCCACAUUGGUGAGGGACAAGGUUUGCUAUGUGCUUAUAUGGUCUUGGGCUACUCCCCAUAUUGCCAAUUGGUUUUAUGGUGGAACCUCAAUUUCAUCAUAUGCCACUGGAUUGCACUUUGUUGAUCGCAGUAUGAAGUCAAAAAUUAGUCAUCUUCAAUCAUUUGAAGGUGCAGUUAGACUUUUGUUUGAUGAUGGGGACGCAAUGAAUCGUUUGUCCGAUUUGCUUGGUUAAUGGAGAAGUUUUUCCAAUUUGGCUGCAUUGACGACCCUUUGUUAUCCAAUUCGUAGUUGAGUUCGGACAAUGGGGAAUCAUUGAUUUAAAUGAAGGACAGAAAGAACUAUCUUCUGUCUUAUUUUAAUGCAUUGAAAUUCUUAUGCCAGCCGCUUACAGAGUUAGUAAAUUCAGGAAGGAAACAGAUUAUUACAAAUAAUGAAGCUGCUUCUGUUUCUAUUGAAUUGUGCCAUAUCCAGGGUGCAUUCCAUCAGUUUUGUUUUCUUUCUCUGCAAAUGUGCAGAUGUACAUAUGAGGUGGAUAGAGAUGGUUUUGAUGGAAACAGCACCCUUGAUGUUGCUCUGGCUGCUUUUACCCUUGCCAUCAUAACAAAGCUGAACAUGCAGAAGAGUGUGCAAAUACUUGAAAAUAUCAUCACCAGGGCUUGGAUUCAACCUCAUGGUCUAAAGUAUCUAUAUGUCUCUCUGUACAAUACCGGGAUACAUUUGUACCGAAAGAAGGAGCUAAAAGAGGAUAGGGAUGCAGUUGUUUACGUGCACUUCUCCUUGCCAUCAAUUAGCUGUGGCAUAUUGCUUACAUGCGCUUUCUACCCAGGAAACUGAACCCAACUCAAAGACUCAUGAGCAGCGAGUGCUUGAAGAUAUCAGUGCUGCCAUUAAUCUAUGGUUGGGCAUUUCUACUCCAGAUAAUUGCUCUCCUGCUGACAAGUGGUCCAUGUUGUCUGAAAAUACCAUAUUGCUACUGUACAAUGUUAUUGAUCUGUUAUCCAUCAAGGGUUGCACGGACUUUCACAGUGAUAUACAUAGGCUUAUGAUUAGAUUAUUUAAAUGGAGUAAUGUCCCAUUAGAGAAGUGCGUCCUCAGAUUUUGGGAAUGUAGAAGGAUUAGCCAUGCCCUUUGUGCUUCACCUGUAAAUGAGACAUUCAUCAUGAACAUAUCGGAUCAUUGUGGUGAACUUUCAAAGUCUAUUUCUUUUUGGAUAGAUUGUCUAAAAGAUUCCAAACAAUUGCUUUUAGCGUUCCAACAUAGCUUCUCAUUUCUGUUUCCAAACUUUUCUCGGGGCCCAUGCAAUCAUGAAAGCUUGUUUCGAUCAGAUACUGAGGUCAAGCAAGCUGCUUUUGAACUUAUUUCACAAGCUCCUGUAUCUACUUGGUCUGCUUACGUAGCUGGAUAUCUCUACUAUGAUUUAUCUGAAAGACUUGUUUCAAAUGGACGGUUAAUUGAGGCUCUCUCAUAUGCCAAAGAAGCUCACAACUUCUCACAAAGCUUACCACUAUUUACCAAUGUUUUUUCUACUGUCUUGGGAAAGCUGUACCAUAAGCAGCAGCAUUGGGAUUUGGCACAAAAGGAACUUCAAAGUGCCAAGGAAUAUUUUGGGGAUAGCAGCUCUGAUAUUUCUUGUUGGAAGUGCAGAUUGAUGCUGGAAGCAACUGUUAAUCCUGUAUUUUUGAAAAUACAAGGAAGUACAUCUUCAGAUAAGUUAUCUCAUGCUGAAAACCUGUAUAAAUCAGCCAUUGCCAAACUAAAUCUUUCUGAGUGGAAAAUUCUGUUAAUUGUCCUGAAGAAGAGCGUGAUGAUUGGACAAUGCUUGGAAAAGCUAGUCUUAAAGACUUUGGAGCUUGUUGUAUACUUACUCAUUCUGAAGAAAAACAGCAGGAAAUUAGGAAAAUCAUCAAGGAGGGGAUGAAAGGCAAGAUGGAUGCUGAAAAGUUUAAAAAGACUAAAAAUGCACCAAAACCCAUGGUGAAGGAUCGAGUGUCAGUACCUGAGUACAAUUUGAGGUCAACUCGGUCUAGAUAUUGAUCUCCUCAGAACCAAAGCAUAAGUGGCAAUGGCAUCACCCAACUUGGUCCUUCAAAGCAGUUGCAAGGAAAAAGUGAGUGUGAUUGUCCUGAUACUUUUAGUAAGAGGGAUUUUCUAUUGGAUUUAAAAAGUUGUGAGGUCGUUGAUGUAACAUGCAUUUGCAACAAAAUGAGGUGUUGGCAUUGUCUUACUUUGGAAGUUAUGGAAUCUGGGUUAGUGAAAAAUGUAGUAGAUUUGAAGUGGGAGUUUGUCCGCAGGCGUUUAUCACUCAGGCUUCUCACAGGAUUAGGAACAUGCUUGGAGAGUUGUAGUCAAGUACACGAGACACGUGAAAUUAUAGCAGACUGUAUCAAUCUUGGUCAGCCGAAACCCAUUUUUUCCUAUUACCUCAACUGUUCCAUUGACUUCCUUGUUUGAUUUAAUGGGAAAGGAGAUCCCCGGGGAUGCGUUCUGUAUUGAACGGGCAGAAGUACUGUUGAACAUAAGUUGAUUGUCUUUGAAGAGUUACUGUUCUAAGGAAACCAGGUAUCUUAAUAGUAGGUUCUUAUGUAUAUGCAUGCUUAUUGGAUAAAUGCCUUAAAUAAACCAUCAGGGAUAUCACCGGACACUUGCUCAUUUGUAUAAAAGAGGAGUAAUGCCCUUUGUUUUUGGGUAAGCU